Non-coding RNA from Heterocephalus glaber (naked mole-rat), 71 nucleotides. The record is from Rfam. Lineage: Eukaryota; Metazoa; Chordata; Mammalia; Rodentia; Bathyergidae.
UGGGGUGUAGCCCAGUAAUAGAGCAUUUGCCUAGCAUGUGUGAGGCCCUGGGUUUGAUCCCAGCACCACAA